RNAcentral lists this transfer RNA (76 nucleotides) under Klebsiella aerogenes. Its description in RNAcentral is "tRNA-Ala". It matches the Rfam family "tRNA". Rfam says of the family: Transfer RNA (tRNA) molecules are approximately 80 nucleotides in length. Their secondary structure includes four short double-helical elements and three loops (D, anti-codon, and T loops). The record is from RNAcentral. RNAcentral also lists the same sequence under 5 other names. Lineage: Bacteria; Pseudomonadati; Pseudomonadota; Gammaproteobacteria; Enterobacterales; Enterobacteriaceae.
GGGGCUAUAGCUCAGCUGGGAGAGUGCCUGCUUUGCACGCAGGAGGUCUGCGGUUCGAUCCCGCAUAGCUCCACCA